AUGGUUCCUCCAGAGCCUCCGGAACCAGCAACAGAAGACAAGGAGAAGGAAAGAGUCGCAACCGGUGCUCCCUUCACGUGGAUUACAUGUCACUUUGGUACUGGCCCUGAGGAAGCUAAUGAGGAUGAGGUCAAGACAUAUGCUCAUGUGUACAUGUGGUACGUUAUAUCCAGGACUAUGUUUGCUGAUGGCACAGGCAAGAAUGCUCCAUGGAUGUGGCUGAAGGCGUUGACCGUCUUCGAUAGCAAAUGGAGUUGGGUUCGGCGACACUGGCUUACUUGUAUAGAUAGGUAUGAAGUUGUUUCUUUUUCACUUCAUUGCUACAUUAUCAAUGUGAUCUUGCUGUUAAUCCAACCAUGUUCCCUUUUAUGUGCAGUUGGACGAAGCCUGUUGUAG
RNAcentral lists this ribosomal RNA (396 nucleotides) under Triticum aestivum (bread wheat). Its description in RNAcentral is "partial small subunit ribosomal RNA". The record is from RNAcentral. Lineage: Eukaryota; Viridiplantae; Streptophyta; Magnoliopsida; Poales; Poaceae.